RNAcentral lists this ribosomal RNA (540 nucleotides) under uncultured bacterium. RNAcentral describes it as "partial 16S ribosomal RNA". It matches the Rfam family "Bacterial small subunit ribosomal RNA", at positions 355 to 880 of the family's 1533-position model. The record is from RNAcentral.
UGGGGAAUAUUGCACAAUGGGCGCAAGCCUGAUGCAGCCAUGCCGCGUGUGUGAAGAAGGCCUCGGGUUGUAAAGCACUUUCAGCGAGGAGGAAGGUGGUGAGCUUAAUACGCUCAUCAAUUGACGUUACUCGCAGAAGAAGCACCGGCUAACUCCGUGCCAGCAGCCGCGGUAAUACGGAGGGUGCAAGCGUUAAUCGGAAUUACUGGGCGUAAAGCGCACGCAGGCGGUUUGUUAAGCCAGAUGUGAAAUCCCGGCGUCAACCUGGGAACUGCAUUUGAAACUGGCAAGCUAGAGUCUCGUAGAGGGGGGUAGAAUUCCAGGUGUAGCGGUGAAAUGCGUAGAGAUCUGGAGGAAUACCGGUGGCGAAGGCGGCCCCCCUGGACGAAGACUGACGCUCAGGUGCGAAAAGGCGUGGGGGCAGCAAAACAGGAUUAGAUACCCCUGGUAGUCCACGCUGUAAACGAUGUCGAUUUUGGAGGUUGUGCCCCUUGAGGCGUGGCUUCCGGAGCUAACGCGUUAAAUCGACCGCCUGGGGAG